Molecule: ribosomal RNA, 397 nt
Filed under: uncultured bacterium
Lineage: Bacteria
Description: partial 16S ribosomal RNA
Rfam family: Bacterial small subunit ribosomal RNA
Source: RNAcentral
AUACGUAGGUGACAAGCGUUAUCCGGAUUUACUGGGCGUAAAGGGCGUGUAGGCGGUCUUGCAAGUCAGAAGUGAAAUUCCUGAGCUCAACUCGGGCGCUGCUUCUGAAACUGCAGGACUUGAGUGCUGGAGGGGAUAGCGGAAUUCCUAGUGGAGCGGUAAAAUGCGCAAAUAUUAGGAAGAACACCGGUGGCGAAGGCGGCUAUCUGGACAGUAACUGACGCUGAGGCGCGAAAGCGUGGGGAGCAAACGGGAUUAGAUACCCUGGAAGUCCACGCCGUAAACGAUGAAUACUAGGUGUAGGGGGUAUCGACUCCCUCUGUGCCGCAGUUAACACAAUAAGUAUUCCGCCUGGGGAGUACGGCCGCAAGGUUGAAACUCAAAGGAAUUGACGGGG